UUUUGUAACUUUAAUCACAGAAAACUUCAACAUGGAUUUCAAGGCUUUGAUCCAAGCUGAAAUAGAAAAGAAAAAGAGAAAAGUGGAAAAAAAUUCUGACAUUUUGGUAGUAGAGAAUAAUCUUAUUGUUAGACAUUUUCAGUCACAGGUGCUUGUGUCUGUGGAAUGGACCCCCUUUUUCUUACUAUUCUUUUUUGUGUUGUAAAUUUUUAAGUAAAUAUUCUGUAAAUUAUUACCUGCCUCAUAAAAUUUUGAUAAGAGACAGGUGUUGCCUGGCUGUGAAAGGGGAUAAAUGGGAGUAAUGUAUGAUAUCCAAUUCGAUUAAUCAUUUGUUAACCAGGUUGGGAGAUCCAGCCAUUUUAAAAAAAGGGGGGGGGGGUGUUUCCAACCACAUGUCCCCAUAAUUUUCAAAUGCAUUGAUCGUCCAAAAAAAAGGGUUUCCAACUCCCGCCCCCUCCUAGUGUUUAUACCUGUAUACAUGUAGAGGAAUAAUCCUUCUACAGAGGGAUAAAAUUAUUUUUCUCAGGGGCGGAUCCAGCCAUUUUAAAAAUGGGAGUUCCCAACCCAGGACAAAGGAGGGUUCCAACUAUAUGUCCCCAUUCAAAUGCAUUACUCGUCCAAAAAAAGGGGGGGUCCAACCCCCACAACCCACCCCCUGGAUCCGCCACUGCUUCUAUAGUGGGUGAGUUUUAUUAAGACUGGCCAUGGAUUUAAAGCAAAAUAAUUGUAUCCCUCUACAGAAGGAUUUUCCUUCUUUACAGGUACAAACACCAUAUAGAGGGUUUGUUCCCAACCUGUAAACAGCAGAUUUAAAUGACAUGUAUGAUAUAAAAAUUUGGCAUUUGUUGUAAAAAAAAUCUCUGAUUGUUCUCUUGGUAGGAUUUUUUAUAGGCAGUAUCUCUAUUUGGGAGGAGAAGCUAAAUUGACAUUAAUAGACUAUGUGUACUGGCGUCUUGUUAUAUAAUUAAAUACCCAAAUUGACAUGAUCUAUAUUCAUCAAGGUUUCCUUCCUCUAGAUGAGCUUCUAGCCAAAGCUUAUGACUCCUAUUUUGCUUUUGGUUUUGUAUCAAGUUGUCCUUCUAUUAGAUGAACUGCUUUAACAGAGCUAUGAUCUUCAUCUGACCAACUAUUUGACAUAUCUGGGGCAAGGUUGAAGGGUGCUAGGGCAUGUCCACACAUCGGUGGACCUACACACUUCAUCUCUGGGGCCCUUGCUGCUCUGAGAUCCUCUACAAUUUUAACUAGGAUGAUAGACCCUAGUUACCAUGUGCCGUCCCAAGGAGUCAUUGGAGACAUGGUAGAAGUCUUGAAUAGUACAGAGUCUGACAUGGUAGAAGUAUUGAAUAGUACAUAGGCUAUGUACUGGCAAAAAGACUUGCACACUCGGCUCUCUUUUCAACUGCCAAAGCAGGCUAGCCAGCAGUGAUAAAGAGCCUAUUGCUCCCACCACACUAGAAGCAUGCUCAUUCCUGUGGUACAAACCACCAGCACAUUGAUUACAUACAUGAUAUACAUUUUGUACAUUGUUUAUAUUUAAAUUUAUUAAAUUGUACUUUCAGAGUUCAAGUAAAAAAUAUUUUAAAAGAGGAGAUCUAGCCAAAAAAGAAGAAGAAGAGUAUUGGAAGAAACAUCAGAGAUUAAAAGUGCCAGAAAAAUUAGCAAAAACAGU
RNAcentral lists this long non-coding RNA (1669 nucleotides) under Mytilus galloprovincialis (Mediterranean mussel). Lineage: Eukaryota; Metazoa; Mollusca; Bivalvia; Mytilida; Mytilidae. The record is from RNAcentral.